CCUACGGGAGGCAGCAGUGAGGAAUAUUGGUCAAUGGACGAGAGUCUGAACCAGCCAAGUAGCGUGAAGGAUGACUGCCCUAUGGGUUGUAAACUUCUUUUAUAUGGGAAUAAAAUGUUCCACGUGUGGGAUUUUGUAUGUACCCUAUGAAUAAGGAUCGGCUAACUCCGUGCCAGCAGCCGCGGUAAUACGGAGGAUCCGAGCGUUAUCCGGAUUUAUUGGGUUUAAAGGGAGCGUAGGUGGAUUGUUAAGUCAGUUGUGAAAGUUUGCGGCUCAACCGUAAAAUUGCAGUUGAAACUGGCAGUCUGGAGUACAGUAGAGGUGGGCGGAAUUCGUGGUGUAGCGGUGAAAUGCUUAGAUAUCACGAAGAACUCCGAUUGCGAACGCAGCUCACUGGACUGUAACUGACACUGAGGCUCGAAAGUGUGGGUAUCAAACAGGAUUAGAUACCCCUGUAGUC
This 460-nucleotide ribosomal RNA is filed under the name uncultured bacterium. RNAcentral describes it as "partial 16S ribosomal RNA". It matches the Rfam family "Bacterial small subunit ribosomal RNA", at positions 338 to 795 of the family's 1533-position model. The record is from RNAcentral.